This 371-nucleotide ribosomal RNA is filed under the name uncultured bacterium. RNAcentral describes it as "bacterial SSU rRNA". It matches the Rfam family "Bacterial small subunit ribosomal RNA", at positions 28 to 399 of the family's 1533-position model. The record is from RNAcentral.
GACGAACGCUGGCGGCGUGCUUAACACAUGCAAGUCGAGCGGUAAGGCCCUUUCGGGGGUACACGAGCGGCGAACGGGUGAGUAACACGUGGGUGACCUGCCCUCAGCUCUGGGAUAAGCCUGGGAAACUGGGUCUAAUACCGGAUAUGACUCCAUGACGCAUGUUGUGGGGUGGAAAGCCUUGUGCGGCUGAGGAUGGGCCCGCGGCCUAUCAGCUUGUUGGUGGGGUGAUGGCCUACCAAGGCGACGACGGGUAGCCGGCCUGAGAGGGCGACCGGCCACACUGGGACUGAGACACGGCCCAGACUCCUACGGGAGGGCAGCAGUGGGGAAUCUUGCGCAAUGGGCGAAAGCCUGACGCAGCGACGCCG